GGUUACUGCUAUCGAGGUUCGACUAAGCCAUGCGAGUCGAAUGUAGCAAUACAUGGCGUACUGCUCAGUAACACGUGGACAACCUGCCCUUAGGACGGGUAUAAACCCGGGAAACUGGGUAUAAUUCCCGAUAGGUCUCGUCUGCUGGAAUGCAUCGAGAUCCAAAGCUCCGGCGCCUAAGGAUGGGUCUGCGGCCUAUCAGGUAGUAGUGGGUGUAGCGUACCUACUAGCCUACGACGGGUACGGGUUGUGAGAGCAAGAGCCCGGAGAUGGAUUCUGAGACACUAAUCCAGGCCCUACGGGGUGCAGCAGGCGCGAAAACUUUACAAUGCUGGGAACAGCGAUAAGGGAACCUCGAGUGCCAGGUUACAAAUCUGGCUGUCGUGAUGCCUAAAAAGCAUUAUAUAGCAAGGGCCGGGCAAGACCGGUGCCAGCCGCCGCGGUAACACCGGCGGCUCGAGUGGUAACCGUUAUUAUUGGGUCUAAAGGGUCUGUAGCCGGCCGGAUAAGUCUCUUGGGAAAUCUGGCAGCUUAACUGUCAGGCUUUCAGGGGAUACUGUCUGGCUCGAGGCCGGGAGAGGUGAGAGGUACUUCAGGGGUAGGGGUGAAAUCUUGUAAUCCUUGAAGGACCACCAGUGGCGAAGGCGUCUCACCAGAACGGACCUGACGGCAAGGGACGAAAGCUAGGGGCACGAACCGGAUUAGAUACCCGGG
Molecule: ribosomal RNA, 714 nt
Filed under: archaeon enrichment culture clone A21D58
Lineage: Archaea
Description: bacterial SSU rRNA
Rfam family: Archaeal small subunit ribosomal RNA
Source: RNAcentral